UCUCUCAAACUAGGGUAAGCCUAGCUACUUGAUUUAUCACUCUGCCUCCUUUUCUGUUUUGAUUUAGCUCAUAUUGAAUCCAAACUUAAGACCAAAUAUAGCUAGGCCUGCAUCCGAUACAUCAUAGACUGAAGAUAGAUGUAUUAUGAAAUCUGCAAGCAACUAAUAUUACUUUUCAAUUCCUUCAGUUUUCAUUGAAGUGUCGCUCUGUUGCUUUCUGUAAACUGUUUUGCAGACUGCCCUUUUGAAGAUGGUGGGAAGACAAAGUAGUUUAACUUGUAUGGAAUAAAGCCAGGUCUUGAUAAUUGAAGAUAGGCUUAAAAGGAAAAGG
RNAcentral lists this unclassified non-coding RNA (331 nucleotides) under Hevea brasiliensis (rubber tree). Lineage: Eukaryota; Viridiplantae; Streptophyta; Magnoliopsida; Malpighiales; Euphorbiaceae. The record is from RNAcentral.